Brassica napus (rape) is the source of this 1696-nucleotide long non-coding RNA. RefSeq lists it as uncharacterized. Lineage: Eukaryota; Viridiplantae; Streptophyta; Magnoliopsida; Brassicales; Brassicaceae. The transcript is spliced from 8 exons. The record is from RefSeq and is a predicted model, not a curated record.
GUAACGUCUUCUUCCGAUUUGUUGCGUAAUCAGCCUUCGACGCUCUCCGUCUGGGUAGAUCGUCGCAGUUCAUUGUUGCUUGGCUUCUCCGUUUAUGGGACUCGGAAAACAUCAAGAAGUAUGGUAAAUUCAUGGGUAUCACUCUACUUCUCCUUGAUGAGAAGGUAUUGUAUCGAAAAAAGAGAAGAUUAUGUACUUUCGUUUUUUUGGUCGCUAUAUGUUUCAGAUUGUCUCUCAUCACACUGCAAGAAACUAUAUGAAGUCAAAGAAGGCAAAUAAAAGUUUGAUUUCAAGGUGGUCACCGAGACCGUUCCAAAAUGAGCGUGAUUAUGUCCCGUUGAGCUCUAUGGCUUGGCCAAAGACGAGUCUGAUUACGGAUGAUACACAACAAGCUUCAAGAUAGAUAACAGUGACCUUCGAUAAAGGAGGCAAGCCUACUGUUAGAGUUGCUAGCCUUGGCCACGCGUUGCAUGUCUGGCUCAAUUGAGAAUACCUUGGUAAGAUGUGAGAUUGAGAAGGAUAGUGUCUUAUCUGGAGCAUAGAUUCACAUGUCACACGUAGUGUUUCCAUCUUAGGGUUGAGCUCUGGACCACUUGAUCUCACUGAGAAAAACAAAUGGGGAAACAAGGUGGGUAUUGAAAGCUAGAAGCUCUAUAUUCACACGAGAAAGGGUAGAAGAAGGUUAAGUGGCAGAAAUUCUCAGGAAAAGCAUCAGGACUUACCUGGUAUCAGGCAUACUUUGAUGCGCCAGGGGUUUAGUAAUAUUAAGUUUUCUUUUUCCAUCUGAAGAAGAUUCUUUAACGAACCAAGGAAAAUAAAUAAACAUUAUAGACUGCAUACUGGGAAAGUUGAUAACUCUGAAACAUCACAUGAGUGGUGCUAUAUCUCAUGCUCCAAGAGCUCCUGGAAACUGCAGCGUGGGCUUUCAUCUUUAGUGUGUGGAUCAUAUCAUGAUGAAAAAGCUGUUGGCAUUGUUAGGUAAUCUAUGAUGCAAUUGGUUUCAUACAUGAUUUAGGUAUGCUCACAAAAAAAAAUCAGUUUAAUCCUUACACCUAACCAGUCGUCUCUCUCUUUGAUGACAAGUACCGGGUGGAAAUGGCAGUAUCAGAUGCAUCCGACUCUGCUCUGUUUGUGGCUUUCGAUGCUGAGAUGAACAAGCUGAUCAAUGUUCCUGCUGCAUGGGCACCAGCAUGGAGGAUGCACAUGACAUUGCCUUCCCACAGUGCCUCAGAGACAUACUGGGGAGGGCCUUAACAUUCCAGCAGAAACUUUCAAGGUUUAAUUUUUCAUCGAAGCAUCAGUCAUUCACCUUAACCAGAGCUUCCCCUUCCAGAUUUUGCAGAGCAGGAGCUAUAUAUAGAGAUACUUCUGAAGCUCUUUAAAGAGGUGCUCCAGUCAACAACGGCAGACCCAUUACUCAUGUCAUGGUGGAAGGCAAGAAACAGCCUCUAAACCUACCAAAAACCAUGUUCGAAAUGGUUAAGCUUCAGAUUACUGGAGCCUAAUGGAAUGUUGCAGACUUCCACAACUGCUUUUUGUCGUUUUCUUAAAAAAAAUCUUUAAUAAAUGUUUACUUGAGCUAUUUGGCUCUGUAUUUCAGAUGACUUAGAAAAGAGCCUCCUUCAAUUAUUUAUGUGUACUUGAGCUAUUUGGCUAUGUAUUUCAAAUGAAUUAUAAAAUAGACUCCUUCAACUAA